UGUGUUUGUAUGAGUGUGUGUGUGUGUGUAUAUAAUACACACACUGUGCAUUAUUUGCACACACUGUGCAUUAUUUACACACACACACACUCAUACAAACACGCA
This is a non-coding RNA of Pelobates cultripes (western spadefoot toad), 105 nucleotides long. NCBI's taxonomy places the organism in Eukaryota, Metazoa, Chordata, Amphibia, Anura, Pelobatidae. The record is from the annotation of a GenBank genome assembly.